Molecule: long non-coding RNA, 5179 nt
Organism: Dinoponera quadriceps
Lineage: Eukaryota; Metazoa; Arthropoda; Insecta; Hymenoptera; Formicidae
Exons: 3
Source: RefSeq, a predicted model, not a curated record
UAUAUAUAUACACACAUACACAUAUAUAUUUUUAUCCUUGAAUGAUCCUGAUGGCCUUUCAAUGAAGUCACUAAAAAGAAGAAGAAUGAUCAAUGCGAAACAACUACCGAUCGUAGUUCCGUGAAUAUCACUGAGAAGCGAGCUAUGAAAUAUAACCAAUCUAUCAGAAAAACAUCCAGGAAGAAAAAACUAUAGCAACAGUUUCGACAAAACAUUUUUAAUGUUUUACGGAAGAGAUCGUCUACAAAAAUCUCGAAUCUCGAAAAAAAUGGGCUCCAAGUCGAUUUUCUAAGGAAUUUUAUACCUCUUCAAAUGUAAUCUUUCAGACCUUGCCAACAAGCUUGAUAUCAUAAAGAAGAUAUAUACUCUGCUUGAACAUCACCCAAGUAUAAGAUAUAAACUUACGUCUUUGAACGAUCUUAAUGGAAAUUCAAAUAAGCCCGAAUCACGAUAAGAUUAACUGAAACCAUAGACCAUAAGCUAAUAAAUAUCAUUAAGGAGUAGACUGUCAGAUGUACUCAACUAUCGCCUAUCGAAGAAGAAACACCUCAGAAGAGAAAGGAUCACGUCUAUAGUUUUGCUUCUUUUAGAAGCUAACAGAGUUGUUUACUCUCUGAACCAUCAUGGUGUUCAAAAAGAGCUUUUACUUCCUACAAUGAAAGGUAACGUAACAUCUAGAAAUUUGUAUUUUGCUACUAUAUUUUAUAAUAUUUAAAAACGGCUAUGUACAUGUGGAAGAGAACGUACAACGUCUGAAGACGUAACAUCACUGAAGAUUAUAUACCAAUCAUCUCUACAUCAUAACACAAUUUCGAAAGUGUCUUUAUUUAUUAUAAAAUUUUCCAAAACAUUUUGAGAAAUAUUUUAGAGAAUAUUAAAAUAUAUAUUUAAUAUAUACUUAAUACACAUAUUUAAUGUUUAAUAUAUAUUUGAUAUUUAGUAAAUUAAACUAAGAGUAAAUAUUGCACAUUACAUAGUACAAUCAUACAAUACAUAUCAAAGAUUAAAUUGAAUAUAAGACUGGUUAUGUGUGAUAUAUGUGUGAUAUCAGAGAAAUAUACUGUAUAUGUAUAUAAAUGUGGAGCAUAUAUGAAAUAUUUUUGCUAUAUUUUAUCUUGAUGUUGCAACUGGGAAGGAAACUUUAUAUAAAGAAGAAGAAGUUAACGUUAAAUGUUUCACUUUCUAUAGUAGUAAUAUUCGAUUUAUAUGCAAAGAUAUUAUUUUACGAUACUUAUAAAACAUAAUAUUAACAUGUACAAUCUCACAGCGAUGUUAUCUUGUCAUUAGUGUAAUUAUUAUAUAAAGUCCAAAUCAUCUACUCGAAGAUAAAUGAGACUAAAGGAGGAAAGUCUCAUAGUUUAUAUGUAGAGGAACGAGAAUAAUGAAGCGUGAAUAAUAGUGGCGCGAUUAUCGCUUAUGAUCCUGAAGAAGUCGUCAAUUUUUAACUACUAUUUACUAAAUUUAGUAAAUAUAACUAUUGACUAUGAUGCACACUAAGUCCCGUAACUUGAUGGCGAUCGAACGAAAUCUCUAAACGUAUGACAUAGAAACUCACUCUGUUAUUUAUCCAAAUAGUUCCCAAGUUCAUCAGUGCAGUUAAAAAUAACACUUUCCUUUGCAAUGUUAAUACGAUUAUUACAAUACGUGUAAUUAUUCAGCUACAAUCCGAUGAGAUUAGAAGUCUGUGCGGACAUAGCUUCUCUGAGUUAUAUUUCGUUACAAUUUACAGAUUACAAUGCAUUUCCAUACGAUUAAGAAGUACCUCUGACAGAUAUUUUUUUUCUCUCUUUUUAAGCGUAUGUUACUUUAUAGAGUUGCGUUUUAAUGCUACACAAUUGUAAAUAAGGCGAAUUGAGAAGUACGCUUUUAAAGGUAAAGGUAUACGAAACUAAAUACUUUAGCAAUUUCAUCUACACGCCGGUAAAAGUUAUAUUUCUGGGGAACUGUUAUUGCAAAAGUAGAUUUAAUAGGGAUAACCACACAGUGAAAAAAAGGAUUUUACCAUACACACGAAUUAUCAUAGUUGAGAGGAAAUAGGAUAUUUUGUUUUAAUUUUAGAUAAGACAAGACGCAAUUAGUUAUUACACUAACUAUCGAAGCUAAUAUACUCUCUCUGAAUAUAUAUCAGUAUAACUGAACAAUUCGGACAACUCACGGUUUUACAGGACUAGCUACAGAUAGUUUCAUAUAUUAUGUGUAAUUAUUGUACACCAACUCCCGCGCUUUUCUUUGGUAGCUCUAUUUUAAGCAUUUUAGCCAGGAAAUAUAUAGCAGCAGAUAAAACUGAAUUGCCGAGUACUCUGCCCACUUUAUUGUGCGCUAUUAUUGCUAUUUGGCAAUAAAGGCAUUUACUCUUAUGUAAUUUAUUUUUACUACACUUUAAUGUAAUUUAAGAAUCUUAGCCAAAUCGUAAUUUUAGUAUAUAUAUAUAUGUAUAUAUAUAUAUAUAUAUAUACAGUUUUUACUUCAGCUAUCAUAAAAUAUCCCAUUUCAACUUGGUAACUUGAGACGUGGGACAAUUUUUAUUUGAUUGUAUUUUAUUUAUUGUGUCUAGUCGACGAGAUUGAUGAGUUCUUGAUACAAAGACGAAUCCUGUGACAUUUUCAUAUUGAUGUAUUUAGUCCGCUAUAUAUUCCUCUAUCGAGAUAUCUGAUUAUAGAGACUGAUUUUAUGUGAUACCUCACCGAAUUUUUUACAAGUAGAUAGAAAUCCCGCUUAUACGUAAUGUUAAUACUACUCUAUUAGUAUUAAGGCUCCCCUGUACUCGCCGUAGCUGUUUUAUGACGUGAGAAAAGAAUAUCUCUAUGCUCAGAAUUCUUGCCGUUCAGCACACUCGUAAAAUACUCCGAACACUUUUCUUUCGCUCGAGCGACCAAUAAAUAGCCGUAAAAUUAACGCGACAAAAUCACGAGAAAAGAUGAGUUAAAAGGAGAAAGGUUAUACACACGUCGUGUUAAUCUUGUGGUUAUUUGUUGAAUCGAACAAAAAAAGAAAAGUUUGUUUUACACAAGUGUGCUGAAUCAAUCAUAAAUGCCAUUUUGUGGGCAUAUCUUUUUAUUUGAACGUAUACGACGUUCCUGACGUCAUCAAACAAGAGGACUGUAGCGAGGGACCAGGAGCCUUAAAUAAUAUUUUAGAAUUCGGCGCUACUUACGUGAAUCAUUUCAGAUUAUGACGUGGCGAGCAGAGAAAUUGCGAGGAAUGUACGCACAAGCUACUUGAAACCGGUGAUAUAUCGUUAAUAAUAGCGCAAUUAAUUUGUUGGAACAGGUUUAUAAAAUAUGGUGGGAACUAUGCUUUCCGUCCAAUAAUUCCUAACGCAAAAAUGUAGAGUAAUUAUCACAGUACUUGUCGUACAUAUAGGUCGUAAUCUAGGACAAUUCAAACGUGACUUCCAAAAUCGUUUCGUGUUUUUACACGACGCAGUAGUAGUAGGUAGCAGAAUUUUCUCGAUAUCCUGAAGAUCCGCUCCAUCGAGUUGAGCAAUUUUAUCGGUGUAAUUUGACAUAUAAAUAGCAAAGAUUGCGCUUGUGCGUAGCUCCUCGUUCUUGGUGUCAUAACGCAAGAUGAUUGACGUUGGUACAGUCAACUUUUAAGGAUAAUCACAUUCCUCUUUAUUUUUAUUUUUAGAUCGUAAUUUUUACGGAGUAAAGACAUGGUAUCAAUUGAUAUAUUACAGCUGUGUAAGAGAUGACUUUUCUUACGUUAAGUUACUUGAAUGAUUAAGAUGCAUUGAGUACAAAUAUUGUCUUAGGAUUUCUUGCUUCUGACGAAGUUAGAAGGAAAAACGAUCUUUAUAAGUGGUUUGUGAGAAGAGAUACAGGAGAAUUAUUUCGAAUCGCGUCAUUAUGAGUGUACCAUAUAGUGUGUAUGUGCGCGCGUAUAGUUACAGAGAAAAAGAUUUUAUAAUCACCAAAGUUACAUGUUGCAAGAGCACAUAUGCAGAUCAACCGUAAACUCGUGUAUACGCUUCGUCCAAGUGGAACGUGCACGAGAAUUUACAGUCAUCCUAUAUAACACAAUAAUGUUUUAUAUUUAUCGUAACAACAUCGCGCUCCACUUUCAAGUAUGAUUCAUUUCAUGUUAAAAAGAGAAGAAAAAAAAAGAGUAACGUGGGACUUACACGAAAGAGCUAGUUUCAAGUUUAUAACCGCCCCCAAUAGAUAGCAAAAAUAAAUGAAGUACUUACGUUUCCUAGAACAAAAUUUACCGGGAUACUUUCAUCAGCUUCGUGUGUGAACACAAUGUGUUCCCGCUCGAUGGGUGUAUAUUCCCAAAAUUGCAGUUGAAUAUAUACUUCAAUAUAGUGUGCAGUGCUAAACAAAGUUAUAUACAAAAGUAAUAAGUAAACGCCAACCCUCACAUAAGCAAUAUCGCUUCGUCAUAGGAUCAGUGUUACAUUACACGGUAAUAAUUUUUCUUUCGUUUAUUCUCAGGGAUGGUAUGAUGGAAGCUUUAUAACUGUUUCUCUUUAUUGCGUUAUAUCGUACAUAUUUUUGUUGAAAGUACAUGUCCGUUGACGGUGUAAACCUAAUGUUUUUUUGUUUCUUUUCCUUUAUUUCUGCAAAUUUAAUAAUAAAAUGUUAUCUUGUAUUCUUUCACUCUUUAGAUCUAAGAGCACAUGGAGCUGCAUCCUCUUUUAAAUCGCCAUUCAACAGANAUAUAUAUAUAUAUAUAUCGCGUAAGGAACUUUUAUCGAGUCUGUUAAAAAGAAAAUCUAGUUAUAUGGGAGAGAGAGAAAAAUCGGGGGUGAACGUGAAUUUGCACGGAAUAUUAUUAAAAGCGAAAAUUGAAUAUGUUUCGAUUGAUCUCUUUCAUAUGUUUUUAAACAUAUAUUUGUUCGUCUACCGCGUGAAACCUGUACCGCGUGAAACGUGUUGAAACAUGUAGCUAGAUUAAUGAAAAUACAAAGCGAGUGCUUUAAGUGAGUCAUGUAACAUAGUUUUAAUUCCGAUCAAUUUUAGGUCUUUACAAGAACGCUAAUAUCUCUCACGUGAAAUUAUUCUCCUCGUGUAAGUUCAACAAUUGUAGAUCUGCGACAUGUUAUUGUUUAAUUUAAUUUUCACACACAAUAUCGGUUUGCGUUCUGCGUGUAAAAAUAUUGUAUUAUCAUAAGUUAAUCCACGAUGUACAACAAUGCAGAGACUGAAAAAGAGAAUAAAAGUUCAAUUUUUUAAUA